RNAcentral lists this ribosomal RNA (253 nucleotides) under uncultured bacterium. Its description in RNAcentral is "partial 16S ribosomal RNA". It matches the Rfam family "Bacterial small subunit ribosomal RNA", at positions 524 to 776 of the family's 1533-position model. The record is from RNAcentral.
GACGGACGGUGCAAGCGUUGCUCGGAAUCACUGGGCGUAAAGGGUGCGUAGGCGGCCGUGCAAGUCUGGCGUGAAAGCCCCGGGCUCAGCCCGGGAAGUGCGCUCGAAACUGCGCGGCUCGAGUGCCGGAGGGGAGAGUGGAAUUCCUGGUGUAGCGGUGAAAUGCGUAGAUAUCAGGAGGAAUACCGGUGGCGAAAGCGGGUCUCUGGACAGUUCCUGACGCUGAGGCACGAAGGCCAGGGGAGCAAACGGG